GGGUCAGGAGGUUGGUCGUGCCACCGGUACGUACUGGUCUCACUGAUUCCUCCUUCCUGAAGAACCGUAAUGCCAUUAAUUUGGUGUUGCGGGGAAACAGGACUGUUACUUUGAAAAAAUUAGAGUGUUUAAAGCAAGCUAACGCUUGAAUUCAUUAGCAUGGAAUAAUGAAAUAGGACGAUCGAUCCUAUUUUGUUGGUUUCUAGGAUUGACGUA
RNAcentral lists this ribosomal RNA (216 nucleotides) under Glomeromycotina sp. RNAcentral describes it as "partial small subunit ribosomal RNA". The stretch from base 40 to 216 matches the Rfam family "Eukaryotic small subunit ribosomal RNA", at positions 686 to 864 of the family's 1831-position model. The record is from RNAcentral. Lineage: Eukaryota; Fungi; Glomeromycota.